RNAcentral lists this long non-coding RNA (492 nucleotides) under Triticum aestivum (bread wheat). Its description in RNAcentral is "long non-coding RNA (TAES_LNC023642)". Lineage: Eukaryota; Viridiplantae; Streptophyta; Magnoliopsida; Poales; Poaceae. The record is from RNAcentral.
UCGCCACUCCGCCCCCUGGUGAGGUUUUGCCCUUUAUUUUUUUCUUUUUUCUUGCUGUUUUAGUUGAUUUAGUUGCUUUAGGUUAUUUGAUUUAUGUUAGUUGAUUUAGUUGCUUUAGGUUAGUACAUUUAGUUGAUUUAGGUUAGUUGAUUUAGUUGCUUUAGGUUAGUUGAUUUAGGUUAGUUGAUUUAGGUUAGUUCAUUUAGUUGCUUUAGGUUAGUACAUUUAGUUGCUUUAGGUUAGUUGAUUUAGUUGCUUUAGGUUAGUUGAUUUAGUUGCUUUAGGUUAGUAGAUUUAAUUGCUUUAAUUAGGUUAGUUGAUUUAGGCCCCAUUUGAUAGCUCAGUUUUUUCUAAGUAUUUAUAGAAUACUACAGUUUUUGAGAUUACCAUGGUUUUAUUUACCGUGAGCCGUUUGUCUAUCACUAAAAACUGUGUUUUUAAUACUGUGGUAUUGGCAAACCAUAGUAUUUUCUCUGUAUUUAAAAAAGAACC